RNAcentral lists this small RNA (510 nucleotides) under Arabidopsis thaliana (thale cress). RNAcentral describes it as "ATSL096560". Lineage: Eukaryota; Viridiplantae; Streptophyta; Magnoliopsida; Brassicales; Brassicaceae. The record is from RNAcentral.
UCCCUUUACAAUCAAUCAAUCACCCUAAUCAACAAUUUCCAAAGGUAAGGUAUGAAAAGCACUUAAAGAUUUUGGUUCGGGAAUUUCAUCGAACACCUUCCGGGAAUGAAAUUCCUAGUAUCUAAAUCAACAUGAUCAAGAUUGAUCUAGCCUUAAAAGCAACCAAUAAGUAAGAAUCUUAAGUAAUCUAGCCCUAAACUCCAUAUCCCAACAUCUAAACCAUCCUAAUCUAACCCUAACCAAAGAACUCUAGGAGACUACUCACUCAUGAUCAUGAUCAUACAAAAGAAUUGGUUUGAUCUUUGUAAAGCCAUAAUCAUUAGAGAAUAGAUGAGAAAUUUAAAAGAAAUACUUGAUAUAGAAACUUAAGAACUCAACAUUCAUACAAAAACUUAUAAAGAACCUUAAAGAGAAGUUUUGAUCUCCAAAACAAAAGCUUUCUUUCUCUAAAACUAGGUUAAGAGUAUUUAUAGUAAUGAGAAAAUAAACCGGAUCAACCCGGAACAAACC